CUUGACCGAGCCGAGCCACAGCGGCCGGUCCCGCCGUGCGCCGUAGGUCGCCAGGAGCGCGUGCGCCUC
Molecule: antisense RNA, 69 nt
Rfam family: ASpks TB sRNA